This 449-nucleotide ribosomal RNA is filed under the name uncultured bacterium. Its description in RNAcentral is "partial 16S ribosomal RNA". It matches the Rfam family "Bacterial small subunit ribosomal RNA", at positions 354 to 796 of the family's 1533-position model. The record is from RNAcentral.
GUCGAGAAUCUUUCACAAUGGGGGCAACCCUGAUGGAGCGACGCCGCGUGAAGGAUAAGGUCUUCGGAUUGUAAACUCCUGUCAUGCGUGAACAAGGUUGCUUGGUUAAUACCUGGGCAAAUUGAUGGUAACGCAAGAGGAAGAGACGGCUAACUCUGUGCCAGCAGCCGCGGUAAUACAGAGGUCUCAAGCGUUGUUCGGAAUCACUGGGCGUAAAGGGUGCGUAGGUGGCGUGGUAAGUCAGAUGUGAAAGCCCGGGGCUCAACCUCGGAACUACAUCCGAUACUGCCAUGCUAGAGUACGGGAGAGGUGACUAGAAUUCUCGGUGUAGCAGUGAAAUGCGUAGAUAUCGAGAGGAAUACCAAAGGCGUAGGCAGGUCACUGGACAGUUACUGACACUGAGGCACGAAGGCCAGGGGAGCGAACGGGAUUAGAUACCCGGGUAGUCC